Molecule: long non-coding RNA, 4622 nt
Organism: Neofelis nebulosa (Clouded leopard)
Lineage: Eukaryota; Metazoa; Chordata; Mammalia; Carnivora; Felidae
Exons: 3
Source: RefSeq, a predicted model, not a curated record
CAGAGCAUGAGCAGGGGAGGGGCAGAGAGGGAGGGAGACACAGAAUCCGAAGCAGGCUCCAGGCUCUGAGCUGUCAACACAGAGCCCGGCGCGGGGCUCGAACUCAGACUGUAAGAUCAUGACCUGAGCUGAAGUCGGACACUUAACCGACUGAGCCACCCAGGCAUCCCUGAAAGGGUGCAAUUUUAAAUCAGCAUCAGCAAAGGACUCGCUGACAAGGGGGUAUUUGAAUAAAGCCCCUAAGGAGGGAAGCGGGCCUUGCAUGUAUUAAGGUGAAAUGCCUUCCUGGUAGAAGGAGCAGCAAGUGCAAAGGCCCUGAGGUGGGAGUGUGCCUUUCAGGCUUGAGGAACAGCACAAGGAGGCGAGUGUGGCUGGAGUGAGCAAAGAGGCAAGGUGUGAGAAAUAAGGCCAGAGAGGCACAGGGGCCAGACUGCAAUAGGAUUUCAUGGGCCACUGUGGGGAAGGGACACACAUCUGGGGAGACCUGAAUCUAUGCAAUUUCAGGGGCCAUCCUUUAAAAAAAAAAUUACAUAUAAAACGUUGACUCUGGGCCUCGGAAGGUGCCUGGGGCAAGUGAGGGGCCUGGACAGUACACCUGACCAGAGGGAGACUUUUGGCUUUUGCCCAGAAUGAGAGGGAAGCAUAGGAGAGUUCUGAGCCGACGAAUGACCUGACCCAAUUAAAUCUGUCUGGCCACAGUGUGGAAGAUGAACCGGGGGCAGAGGGCGGACAGGAGAGAAAUCGGAAUACCGAUGAGCAAUGUGGACCAGAUAACACAAUACUCAGAGACGUGGAGUGGCUGGCCCAAGGUCACACAGCCAGUGAAUGGCAGAGCCUGGAUUCAGACCCAGGUCUUCCCAACUCCAAAGUGGAUAGCCAACACACUAGGGAAGCAAGGUUUGGGGACCCUGGUAGCAUGUCAGGUGGGAAAGGCAGUUCCUAGAAGUGAGGCACAUCCCAGGGACCACGGGGUUCCCUGGGACCGCUUCACAGCUACCCCCCAACAAAGCCUGCAGAGAAGGUUCUUGGCACCCUGUGCCACGUGUCUCCCCGAUUCCUUCCUAAACCUGUUUCUGACCCACCGGCUGGCAGAUCUGAGCCUCACUCUUGGGGAAAUGUUUUUGGCUCUCCGGUUUUCUUAAUUCACUGACAAGGUAAUGACGGCCUCGAUCCAUUUAUACACAUUUUCUAAAGGAGUUUCUGCAUUAGGAUGCAAAGCAGGCUUCUCUGGCUUGGAGAAAACCUGAGAUUCCCAGGAUAUGAUCUUCCAACAGAUUUAGCCCCUAAAUCAAUUCACUGCAUUUACACUGAUAGGAACUGAGGGUCCCAGAUGCAUCCACUCAACAGGUGAGACUCAAAUGAGCCCCCUACUGUCCCAGUAAUCUAUACGGCUUGGACCAGUAUUUUUAUUAUUCUCACUAUGGAUUUGAAAGGCCUUAACCCAUCCUUUGGGAUGUCCAACUUGACUGUAGUUUACAUAGAGCAUUCACUUCUUCCUUGGAAGGAGGCAGGGCGGCAGGGGGGGGAUGGGGGGGGGAGUGGAAAUUGACACAUCAGGGAAGCCCUGACUUGUGAAUCUUUCACCAGCUAGAGGCUUUGUUCUUUUCAAACCACACCCCUUUGACACCAGGAACAGAGCCCAGCAGGCCAAGCUGAACAGCCCUUGUCCCCUCCAGUCCUCCCCCAGCCCUCUGCUCCUGGCAAAACCUGCCAGCAGGAGCAGAUAUUUGAUCUGUCGUACGUAGAAGCUGUGCUGUUACAUUUCCCAGAUGUUCGGCUCCCGGGACUGAAGGCUCAGGUUACGGCUAAUCAGGGCUGCUCUAGCCUACAGACCCCAUUCCCACCACACCCUCCCACCCCCAAGAGACAGUUGGGAUCCAGGGCCCACGUGGCCAACUGAGAUGGAGUGGGUAGGACCUGCCUGGGGUCAGGGGGCUCAUGGAAAUGACCCCUUUAGAGUCUUCACGUCAAUGACCUAGAAGGCGUGUCCUCUCAAAGCCCUCUAGGACCAGUCACACUGGGUGAUGCCUCCCCCACCCCUGGGCCUCAAGCACCUGUAUCUCCCCGCCCCCUAGAGCUCACUUCCUAUCCUCGUCAGUAGUUUAGAGUCUGGAGGGACUCUGCAAACACCCCACGAGAAAAACGGAACAAACAGUGGUCACUGCAGCUAGAGUGAGGCCACCAGAACAUGCCUGAUUUCUCCCCCAAUACAUUGGGGCUCACUUUACCGCUAAGGGGAAGAAGGGAGGUUACAAAUUCAGCACUAAAAAAAAUUUUUUUUUUCUGCUCCCAGGAUAAGGUCCGGGGCCAGAGACGUAACAAUGAGAAGUGGGAGGUGACAGAAGCCCACAUCCUGUCCACGGAAAUACAACAAAGGCCUCUCACCCUUUUUUGUAUGAAAGACCGCUCUUGUCCAGGGGUGCACUGGACUUUGUAAAAUGUGUGCGACGAUCUGGUCGCUGCAGGUAAUUCGAUCCCAAGACCAAAAUCGGGCUGUAGCAAACUUUGGACUUCAACCCAGCCUAACCAGGGGAUUCGGGACCACGCGAGCGGCUAGAUGUCGGACAGCGGCGGCCACCCAAGCCGGGCCAGAAAAUGGCGGAGAUUGGCGAGCAGCAGCCCCACACCCUCCUUUCCUGUAUCUACUGGGCUCCCAUUCCAAGGGCAGAACUGGAGGGGCCCCUGGGAUCAUGCAGCCCAACCCUCUCAAUUCACAGUCAGGGGGACUGAGGCCUGGAGAGGGGAUGGUCGCCUCGGUGUUGAUUUCUCCUUUCCUCGGGAAGCCAGCUCCCAACAGAUGGUCAGGGCUGAAAGCGGGCGGGGGGGUCCCUCCAAGGUCGCCCAGCACCUGCACUUGGCUGAUGAGGACAGCAGAGCUCCAGGAAUUCCCCAAGGCAUGAGAAACAGUAUGGACAGCCUUUCAAAGGGCUCUCGAUCCUUGGAAAUGCCAAGAAACCUCAUCCUCCCAGGGCAGCGGUUUCCAAACUUUUGUAUUUUUAGCAGCAGAAGCCAUCCUCCAAACAAACCUUAUGCAAAACCUCAAGCUGCAAACACAUCGGGGCGGGCGGGGGGGGGGGGGGGGCUGCUCUCACAUGUGCAGCCUGGGCCCGGCCCCGGACUCCCCCCACAGCACCCAAGACUGCUUCCGCAGGACCCUCCGUGGAGCUCAGUCUGCAACCCCAGGCUCUCGGGGGCCUUGUAGCCCUGAAGCUGAAGCAGUCAGACAGGGUGAGCUCUUACUUAAGACCCCUGGAGGGUGUGGCUGGUCUCUGAGACCUGGAUGACUUCGUUCUCCACCAGAGCCUGGCCCCCGUCCCCAUUGAGCUGUCUCAUGCGCAGGUUAAUGGAGCCAUAGGUCUUCCUGGAGCCCCUGCCAGGGACGAAGGUGGGCCGGCGGUACAGCUCGCCCUUGCACAGGGAGACCAUCAGCAGCACUGACAAGAGGAUGCCACCCACUGUGAGCAGCCCCAGGCCCGCGAUGAUGCACUUGUCCAGGGCCCAGAUUAAAGGGGAAUCGGGUUCAAGUGGGAUCGAGUGAGGUGCCCAGAGCACAAAAGUGAAAGUGACACUCUCGGUUCCUGGAGGCUGGGGACAAGACCCGAGUUCCGUCUGAAGAUCAUGGGUCCCCAGGAAGACUGAGGCCAGCUCACUUGCCUGUCCUCGGCUAGGACCUCUCACCUCUGUGAGCCUCAGCGUUUACCUGUGGGUAGGAUCCUAAAAAUGCAGGAUAAAAAUGCAGGCUGUAGGAGCUUCCAGAAGAUCAGCUGGGGGCCGCCACCUAGAAGGACCAGCAGAUAGGUUACCCUGUCCUGGCGCCACGGCCACCUCGUGGGAGAGCCUGACCUGUCCUGCUCCAAAGGCCUGUGCGGUCCAUAGCCAGCCAGGACUGCAGAGGCCGCCCUGGAAGCUGGGUGCCUGGGCCUUUGAGGCUGGUGUGGUGGAGACCUGGGUGGGACCUCAGGAAUGAAGAGGGUUCAGUGUCUCCCUGACCUCACAGGCCUGGCCUCUCAUUUGGGACUUUGAGGGGAAGCCAGCUGUGGUGUCAGACCUCCCCAUAAAGACCUCCCUAUAAAGCACCCGUGGUCCCCUCCCGCGGUCAUACACAGUCCUGCCUCAGAGCCUUUGCCUUUACCAUUCCUUCUUCCCCAGGACACUGUGCUGCCUGACAUCCCCAGAGCUCACUCCCCCACGUCUUUCAAGUCUUUGGUCAGAUGUCACCUUCUCAGAGACACCUGCCCAGACCAUCCUUUUAAAACUUGCAGUGCCGGGGAGCCUGGGUGGCUCAGUCGGUUGAGCGUCCGACUCUUGAUUUCAGCUUAGGUCACGAUCCCAGGGUCUGGGUCGUGGGAUCGAGCCCCGCAUUGGGCUCCAUGCUGAGUGUGGAGGCUGCUUGGGAUUCCCCCUCCCACCCCACCUCUCCCCCUCUCCCCACUCUCUCUAAAAGAAAUAAAUAGGGGCGCCUGGGUGGCUCAGUCGGUUAAGCAUCCGACUUCAGCUCAGGUCAUGACCUCACUGACUGUGAGUUCGAGCCCCGCGUCGGGCUCUGUGCUGACGGCUCGGAGCCUGGAGCCUGCUUCAAAUUCUGUGUCUCCCUCUCUCUCUGCCCCUCCCCCGUUCAUGUU